GAGCCGGGCGACAGCGGGGAGAGGGGGCUAUGCUCAGGUUGGGGUCGCGAUGGGCGCCCAACCCCAUUCUGGGGGCAGACCACCGAGACUCAAGGGGUCUAGUCCAAGUGCACCCCAAAGGUCAAGUGGAUGGCUGGCGAGGGGGGGCGUACGCGGCGCAGAGAGACUCCAACCUUGUAGAUCCCCCCGGUGGAGUCACGGAGAUGGGACCAGUGGAGGUUCAGAGUAGAAAAGGGGUCAAGGAGAAGAUAAAGAGCAGCCAGAGAAGUGGGGUGGAUCCCCGCGGUGGAGUCACGGAGAUGGGACCAGUGGAGGUUCAGAGUAGAAGAGAAAAGGGGUCAAGGAGAAGAUAGAGAGCAGCCAGAGAACUGGACGGAGUGGGUGCAGAAGCCAAGGGAAGGAAGGGAAUUUGGAAGGAGGGCCAAGAAUGGGGUCAGGUGUUGGCCAGAAUGCUGGUUAGACAGAAACUGGGACAGGUCCUGGGCACUGGUGGCCCCAACACUGAGAACCCUGGGGAGAUGGUUCUGGAGAUUCGAGUGAGGAGUUCUGUGCGUAGACAGUCUUUUCUACAAGUUCUAUUAAAGUGUGCAGAGAGUGUAGAUGCGGGAGAGAACUUUGGGAUAUGGGUGGAACGUGUGGUUAGAGUACAGGCUCUGGGUUCAGGAGUCCCCACACACUAUCUGUAAGACCUUGGGCAAGUCACUUAACCGGUUUGUGCCUCAGUCCCUGAUCUGUAAAAUGGGAUGAUGAAGACACUCCCUGCCUCAAAGGGGUCACGUGAAGAUUAGAUGGGUGUUUAAAAGUACUUAACAUGGCACUAAAAUGCUGUAGCUAUUAUUUUUCACUUUUGUUAUUGAACAGGGCAUACCUUGAUGCUGAUAGGAAGAUCUGGUAGAGAGGGAGGCAUUGAAGACAGAGGGGAGAGUACAGGGACCAGGGAGAAAGGGACCCAGAACUUGGAUGGGGAGACAGGUGUCAUUCUAUGCCAAAUGAAGGGAAAGAGGGAAUUGGUGGGGAUGCAGGGAAGUUUGCAGGCUUGGGGUAUGUGGUUAAGGGAGUGCCUUUCUGAUAGGCCUUCUCCGAAGUAGGCCUCAAGGUCAUCUGCUGAGAGGGCCAGGCCACAGCUGACCCAGAUGCCAAGACUGAGGUUCGGAGAAGUUAAAGACCAUGUCCCAGGACCCACAGCUAGUACAUGGAAGACCUGGGAUGCCAGCUCAGAUCUGUCAGACCUCAAGGCCUGGGAUUUGAAACCACUGUGAAUGCAAAAUCCAGCAGGAUGGGAAGAGGUAGAGGGAUCAUCUCCUGCAUUUGGUAGAUGAGAGAACAGGCUGGAUGCUCUGACCUCCAACCCCAGCUCUAAUGACUGGACACUCCUAAAGCGUUCUGUCACCAUCCAGGGGAUUUUUUGCACCACGAAGGGUAAUUCCUGCCCCAUCCCUGCUGUGACUCAGCUGUGACGUUGAACCACACAAGCCGACGAAAAGAUAAAGUCGUCAGACUCCUGCUCACCAGACAGAACUCACCUCUUCUCUCAGCACAGAUUCCACAGGGCUGGUCUCCUCCCCACAGUUGCUUAGACCGGGAGCCCCUGGCCAACCUGGGACCCCAGGAUGGCGUCUGGCCCAGCCAGCAGCCCCCACCCAGCCCCUGAUGAGAACGAGUUUCCCUUUGGGUGCCCCCCCACCGUCUGCCAGGACCCAACAGAGCCCAGGGCCCUCUGCUGUGCGGCCUGUCUCUCUGAGACCGUGAGGACCAGCGAGGACCGGCUCUGUCCAAAAUGCAGAGGGGACGACCCCCAGUCUGUAAGCCCGGGAAGCCUCUUGUCUCAGGAGAAGGUACGUGGCACCACCAGGAAAGGGUAUUUGACCACUUUUUUUCUCCUUCGGUCGAGGUUGAAGCCAUUAGGCAGCUGGCCACAAAGUCCCAGGCAGGAACCUGCCCCUUGUCUAGAAUCUGGACUGAAUUCAGUUUGUAAGCACUGAGGAGCCUGACAUUCACCGUGGCAAAGUGACUUGCCCAAAGACACCUCGCUGUUGUGUGACAGAUUCAGGGUGAGAACACCAGUCUAGACCGGGGGUCUGCAAGCUAUGGCCUGCAGGCCAAAACCAGCUUGCCACCUGGUUUUGUCUGGCCCACAAGCUAAGAAUGGUUUUGAUAUUUUAAAUGGUUUGAAAAAGUCAAAAGAAUGGCAUUUUGUGACACAUGAAAAUUUUUAUGAAAUUCAAAGUUCUGUGUCCGUAAAUGAAGUUUUAUUGGUACACAGCCACAACCCACUCGUUUUUGCAUGGUGUGUAACUACUUUUGCCCUACAACGGGGGAGGUGAGUAGUUGCAAUAGAGGAUUCAAAGUGCAAAAUAUUUGCUAUCUGGCCCUUUAUGGAGAAGUCUGUCACCUCUUGAUCUAGACAGUUCUUUCUGCCCUGGUGUGCCCUCAGACAGGGAGAAGUCCUUCUCAGCUUACCUCUCAAGCUCUGCCAUGCUAUGCUUCUAGGAAUAAGAAACAGCUUUGGAAGUGUGAGGGGCCAAAGAGACAUUUUCAGACACCACAGUUUAGAACUCUAGCCCUUCCAAGUUGGAAGAACCCUCACAGGUCCAUCUGUCCAGGGAAGAGGCUCCCACAAGCCAACCAGACCUGGUCCAUUCCCGCCAGCACAUGACAAAGUGAUAAAAGUAAGGAAAUCGUAGUGAGUUUUUUAUAAAACUAAAACCUUUCCAUUCAUAGAAUCAACCUUUGCUCUGGGGUUAUAUCCUCCCCAUACACGUCUUUGUACAAAUGAAAUGAUGGUGAUAGUCGAUGAUAGGAUUUUUGAUAACGUCUUUACUUGGCAAAAUAAAAAAAAAUGUCAAUCUUCA
This is a non-coding RNA of Leptonychotes weddellii (Weddell seal), 2852 nucleotides long. The record is from RefSeq and is a predicted model, not a curated record. Lineage: Eukaryota; Metazoa; Chordata; Mammalia; Carnivora; Phocidae.